GGGUCCGUAGCUCAACGGGAGAGCAAGGGGCUUUUAACCCCGAGGUUGAGGGUUCAAAUCCCUCCGGGCUCA
RNAcentral lists this transfer RNA (72 nucleotides) under Anaerolineae bacterium. RNAcentral describes it as "tRNA-Lys". It matches the Rfam family "tRNA". From Rfam's summary of the family: Transfer RNA (tRNA) molecules are approximately 80 nucleotides in length. Their secondary structure includes four short double-helical elements and three loops (D, anti-codon, and T loops). Further hydrogen bonds mediate the characteristic L-shaped molecular structure. tRNAs have two regions of fundamental functional importance: the anti-codon, which is responsible for specific mRNA codon recognition, and the 3' end, to which the tRNAs corresponding amino acid is attached (by aminoacyl-tRNA synthetases). tRNAs cope with the degeneracy of the genetic code in two manners: having more than one tRNA (with a specific anti-codon) for a particular amino acid; and 'wobble' base-pairing, i.e. permitting non-standard base-pairing at the 3rd anti-codon position. The record is from RNAcentral. Lineage: Bacteria; Bacillati; Chloroflexota; Anaerolineae.